UAUUGCACAAUGGGGGAAACCCUGAUGCAGCGACGCCGCGUGGGCGAAGAAGUAUUUCGGUAUGUAAAGCCCUAUCAGCAGGGAAGAAGAAAUGACGGUACCUGAGUAAGAAGCCCCGGCUAACUACGUGCCAGCAGCCGCGGUAAUACGUAGGGGGCAAGCGUUAUCCGGAUUUACUGGGUGUAAGGGGAGCGUAGACGGUUGUAUAAGUCUGGAGUGAAAGCCCGGGGCCCAACCCCGGGACUGCUUUGGAAACUGUGUAACUUGAGUACAGGAGGGGCAGGCGGAAUUCCUGGUGUAGCGGUGAAAUGCGUAGAUAUCAGGAGGAACACCGGUGGCGAAGGCGGCUUACUGGACUGUAACUGACGUUGAGGCUCGAAAGCGUGGGGAGCAAACAGG
RNAcentral lists this ribosomal RNA (399 nucleotides) under uncultured bacterium. RNAcentral describes it as "bacterial SSU rRNA". It matches the Rfam family "Bacterial small subunit ribosomal RNA", at positions 362 to 776 of the family's 1533-position model. The record is from RNAcentral.